CGGCAGCACGGGGGCAACCCUGGUGGCGAGUGGCGAACGGGUGAGUAAUGUAUCGGAACAUGUCCGGAAGUGGGGGAUAACGUAGCGAAAGUUACGCUAAUACCGCAUAUGCCCUGAGGGGGAAAGGAGGGGAUCGCAAGACCUUUCGCUUUCGGAGUGGCCGAUAUCAGAUUAGCUAGUUGGUGAGGUAAAGGCUCACCAAGGCGACGAUCUGUAGCUGGUCUGAGAGGACGACCAGCCACACUGGGACUGAGACACGGCCCAGACUCCUACGGGAGGCAGCAGUGGGGAAUUUUGGACAAUGGGGGCAACCCUGAUCCAGCCAUGCCGCGUGAGUGAAGAAGGCCUUCGGGUUGUAAAGCUCUUUCAGCCGGAAAGAAAUCGUGCAGAAUAAUACUCUGUAUGGAUGACGGUACCGGAAGAAGAAGCACCGGCUAACUACGUGCCAGCAGCCGCGGUAAUACGUAGGGUGCGAGCGUUAAUCGGAAUUACUGGGCGUAAAGCGUGCGCAGGCGGUUUUGUAAGACAGACGUGAAAUCCCCGGGCUUAACCUGGGAACUGCGUUUGUGACUGCAAGGCUAGAGUAUGGCAGAGGGGGGUAGAAUUCCACGUGUAGCAGUGAAAUGCGUACAGAUGU
RNAcentral lists this ribosomal RNA (637 nucleotides) under uncultured bacterium. RNAcentral describes it as "bacterial SSU rRNA". It matches the Rfam family "Bacterial small subunit ribosomal RNA", at positions 67 to 699 of the family's 1533-position model. The record is from RNAcentral.